GGUCUGGAAGUCUCAACAUAUGAUGAUGGACUUUAUCUCUCAUGAGUCAAGUAUGCUUCUGAGCUCGAGCAGGGUUGAUCGAUAACAAAAUAGUUGAUACUUCUAUUGAGACUAAUGUCAAACUCUUUGCUACGCAUGAGAAGUUACAGACUAAUCCCACUCUUUGUUGAUAAUUGGUUGGUAGUUUGUUAAUGGACCAGAUAUUUCUUAUGCAAUACCUCAGGUAAGUCGGUUUUUGUCUACACCCUGCUCCACACUUAUGCAGUGAUGAUCCGUAUCCUAUAGUAUAUAAAGGGGACAAUAUUUUAUGGCUUACAUUUCUUAUCUUAG
This 330-nucleotide long non-coding RNA is filed under the name Elaeis guineensis (African oil palm). Its description in RNAcentral is "long non-coding RNA (EGUI_LNC077133)". The record is from RNAcentral. Lineage: Eukaryota; Viridiplantae; Streptophyta; Magnoliopsida; Arecales; Arecaceae.